Molecule: ribosomal RNA, 464 nt
Filed under: Vreelandella stevensii
Lineage: Bacteria; Pseudomonadati; Pseudomonadota; Gammaproteobacteria; Oceanospirillales; Halomonadaceae
Description: partial 16S ribosomal RNA
Rfam family: Bacterial small subunit ribosomal RNA
Source: RNAcentral
CCUACGGGGGGCUGCAGUGGGGAAUAUUGGACAAUGGGCGAAAGCCUGAUCCAGCCAUGCCGCGUGUGUGAAGAAGGCCUUCGGGUUGUAAAGCACUUUCAGUGGGGAAGAAAGCCUUGGGGCUAAUACCCUCGAGGAAGGACAUCACCCACAGAAGAAGCACCGGCUAACUCCGUGCCAGCAGCCGCGGUAAUACGGAGGGUGCGAGCGUUAAUCGGAAUUACUGGGCGUAAAGCGCGCGUAGGCGGUCUGAUAAGCCGGUUGUGAAAGCCCCGGGCUCAACCUGGGAACGGCAUCCGGAACUGUCAGGCUAGGGGGCAGGAGAGGAAGGGAGAAUUCCCGGUGUAGCGGGGAAAUGCGUAGAGAUCGGGAGGAAUACCAGUGGCGAAGGCGGCCUUCUGGACUGACACUGACGCUGAGGUGCGAAAGCGUGGGUAGCAAACAGGAUUAGAUACCUAGUAGUC